ACGAGAUUCCCACUGUCC
RNAcentral lists this non-coding RNA (18 nucleotides) under Arabidopsis thaliana (thale cress). Lineage: Eukaryota; Viridiplantae; Streptophyta; Magnoliopsida; Brassicales; Brassicaceae. The record is from RNAcentral. RNAcentral also lists the same sequence under 1 other name.